Canis lupus familiaris (dog) is the source of this 907-nucleotide long non-coding RNA. RefSeq lists it as uncharacterized. NCBI's taxonomy places the organism in Eukaryota, Metazoa, Chordata, Mammalia, Carnivora, Canidae. The transcript has 3 exons. The record is from RefSeq and is a predicted model, not a curated record.
UACCCUGCAGGAAGAGGGUGGUGCUGCUGUCUUGGCACAGGCCACUCCCCUCGUAUCCUCGGGCCCACCCAGGAUGGGCUCUUCCUAGGCCCAGGGCAGGGGUAGUGAGUGAGGGAGAAAGGAGGAGGAUGUCUGCUGCCCGUUUCCUGAGCAGCCCAGUGGCUGGAACACUGGGGCCUGGUCUCCUCAGGGUGGGGCUGCUGUGUAGGAUGUGCCAGAUGUUCUCUGCACAACCCUGGGGGCACCAUUCCCAUCCCGGGAAGCCUUAUGCCUUGGCUGUGCCCAGAGGCCAGUCUCUCCCCUACUGGUUGGUGCUGAUAGGGAAGACGUUGGCGAUGAAGGAUGCUGGAUGUGAGAGAUGUUCCAGAAAUGGGCCAAGAGGAGAGCUGGCUGCCUGCAAGCUGCCAAGUGGCAAAGGAUCCAGGAAAAGGCACAAGAUUGGAAAGUGCUACCCAGCAAUCUGUGUAUUCUGCAAUUAAGAAGGGGUGCCAGCUUUGAGCCUCCGGUCCUCUCUGGGGCCUGCAUUAACUGGACUCCCCUCUGACCUCCCGCUCAGAUAAUCCGCCCGAGCCGCUUUCAGUGUCUGAAGCUCACAGACUGGUUUGGACCUCAGGAGGUGGAGCCGCUACUCUUCGACCCUUGCCUGUCACAGGUCACCUAUUCCCCGGAUGCAGCUCCAGGGCAGGGUUAGAGAGUGGGAGUGGGAAGGAAAACAGGAUCAAGAACACAACGUAUAGUUUUCCUGAAUCUGCUCCACUUAGAAAUAGACAAGAUCUAUUAAGAUAGCUCGAGAGCGGGAUCCCUGGGUGGCGCAGCGGUUUGGCGCCUGCCUUUGGCCCAGGGCGCGAUCCUGGAGACCCGGGAUCGAAUCCCACGUCGGGCUCCCGGUGCAUGGAGCCUGCUUCUC